This 253-nucleotide ribosomal RNA is filed under the name uncultured bacterium. Its description in RNAcentral is "partial 16S ribosomal RNA". It matches the Rfam family "Bacterial small subunit ribosomal RNA", at positions 524 to 776 of the family's 1533-position model. The record is from RNAcentral.
UACGUAGGGUGCGAGCGUUGUCCGGAAUUAUUGGGCGUAAAGAGCUCGUAGGCGGUUUGUCGCGUCGGAUGUGAAAGCCCGGGGCUUAACUCCGGGUCUGCAUUCGAUACGGGCAGACUAGAGUGUGGUAGGGGAGAUCGGAAUUCCUGGUGUAGCGGUGAAAUGCGCAGAUAUCAGGAGGAACACCGGUGGCGAAGGCGGAUCUCUGGGCCAUUACUGACGCUGAGGAGCGAAAGCGUGGGGAGCGAACAGG